Long non-coding RNA from Bufo bufo (common toad), 2752 nucleotides. RefSeq lists it as uncharacterized. NCBI's taxonomy places the organism in Eukaryota, Metazoa, Chordata, Amphibia, Anura, Bufonidae. The record is from RefSeq and is a predicted model, not a curated record. The transcript has 12 exons.
AUCCCGGACACGGGUGUAUGUAAUGAGGUGGACCGAACAGUCGUAUUGACAUGAACAUGUGACACAGGGGCUAGCCUCGGCCACGGGUGUAUGUAAUGAGGUGGACCGAACAGUCGUAAUGACAUGAACAUGUGACACAGGGGCUAGCCUCGGCCACGGGUGUAUGUAAUGAGGUGGACCGAACUGUCGUAAUGACAUGAACAUGUGACACAGGGGCUAGCCUCGGCCACGGGUGUAUGUAAUGAGGUGGACCGAACUGUCGUAAUGACAUGAACAUGUGACACAGGGGCUAGCCUCGGCCACAGGUGUAUGUAAUGAGGUGGACCGAACUGUCGUAAUGACAUGAACAUGUGACACAGGGGCUAGCCUCGGCCACGGGUGUAUGUAAUGAGGUGGACCGAACAGUCGUAAUGACAAGAACAUCUGACACAAGGGCUAGCCUCGGCCACGGGUGUAUGUAAUGAGGUGGACCGAACAGUCGUAAUGACAAGAACAUGUGACACAGGGGCUAGCCUCGGCCACGGGUGUAUGUAAUGAGGUGGACCGAACAGUCGUAAUGACAAGAACAUCUGACACAAGGGCUAGCCUCGGCCACGGGUGUAUGUAAUGAGGUGGACCGAACAGUCGUAAUGACAAGAACAUCUAACACAAGGGCUAGCCUCGGCCACGGGUGUAUGUAAUGAGGUGGACCGAACAGUCGUAAUGACAUGAACAUGUGACACAGGGGCUAGCCUCGGCCACAGGUGUAUGUAAUGAGGUGGACCGAACAGUCGUAAUGACAAGAACAUCUGACACAAGGGCUAGCCUCGGCCACGGGUGUAUGUAAUGAGGUGGACCGAACUGUCGUAAUGACAUGAACAUGUGACACAGGGGCUAGCCUCGGCCACGGGUGUAUGUAAUGAGGUGGACCGAACAGUCGUAAUGACAAGAACAUGUGACACAGGGGCUAGCCUCGGCCACGGAUGUAUGUAAUGAGGUGGACCGAACAGUCGUAAUGACAUGAACAUGUGACACAGGGGCUAGCCUCGGCCACGGGUGUAUGUAAUGAGGUGGACCGAACUGUCGUAAUGACAUGAACAUGUGACACAGGGGCUAGCCUCGGCCACGGGUGUAUGUAAUGAGGUGGACCGAACUGUCGUAAUGACAUGAACAUGUGACACAGGGGCUAGCCUCGGCCACGGGUGUAUGUAAUGAGGUGGACCGAACAGUCGUAAUGACAAGAACAUGUGACACAGGGGCUAGCCUCGGCCACGGAUGUAUGUAAUGAGGUGGACCGAACAGUCGUAAUGACAAGAACAUGUGACACAGAGGCUUGCAUCGGACACGGGUGUAUGUAAUGAGGUGGACCGAACAGUCGUAAUAACAUGAACAUGUGACACAGGGGGUAGCCUCGGCCACGGGUGUAUGUAAUGAGGUGGACCGAACAGUCGUAAUGACAUGAACAUGUGACACAGAGGCUAGCCUCGGACACGGAGGAAUGGAAUGAGGUCAACCGAACAGUCAAGGAGAUGAACAUGUGACACAAGGGCUAGCCUCAGCCACGGGUGUAUGUAAUGAGGUGGACCGAACAGUCGCAAUGACAUGAACAUGUGACACAGGGGGUAGCCUCGACCACGGGUGUAUGUAAUGAGGUGGACCGAACAGUCGUAAUGACAUGAACAUGUGACACAGAGGCUAGCCUCGGCCACGGGUGUAUGUAAUGAGGUGGACCGAACAGUCGUAAUGACAUGAACAUGUGACACAGAGGCUAGCCUUGGGUGUAUGUAAUGAGGUGGACCGAACAGUCGUAAUGACAUGAACAUGUGACACAGAGGCUAGCCUCAGACACGGAGGAAUGGAAUGAGGUGAACCGAACAGUCAAGGACAAGUACAUGUGACACAAGGGCUAGCCUCGGCCACGGGUGUAUGUAAUGAGGUGGACCGAACAGUCGUAAUGACAAGAACAUGUGACACAGAGGCUUGCAUCGGACGCGGGUGUAUGUAAUGAGGUGGACCGAACAGUCGUAAUGACAUGAACAUGUGACACAGAGGCUAGCCUCAGACACGGAGGAAUGGAAUGAGGUGGACCGAACAGUCGUAAUGACAUGAACAUGUGACACAGAGGCUAGCCUCGGCCACGGGUGUAUGUAAUGAGGUGGACCGAACAGUCGUAAUGACAUGAACAUGUGACACAGAGGCUAGCCUCAGACACGGAGGAAUGGAAUGAGGUGAACCGAACAGUCAAGGACAAGUACAUGUGACACAAGGGCUAGCCUCGGCCACGGGUGUAUGUAAUGAGGUGGUCUGAAGAGCCGUAAUGACAAGAACAUGUGACACAAGGGCACGUCCUGGACGCAGAAGUAUGUAAUGAGGUGGACCGAAGAGGCGCAAUGACGACAAUACGUGACACAGGGGCUCGUCCCGGGCACGUGUAUGUAGACAUAUGGACUGAACCUUCCAACCAUUUCACAGGGACACUAUGGCGGUAAGGACAGUAGUUACAUCCACGGGUGACCACUAAUCUGCCAGUUACUUCCUGAAAUAAAUUCCCCCCGAACGGUAUACAUAAAGCGGGCGUGCCGCGACCCCCGUCACCACCUAAAGAGAUCCGUGCACAUUGUACUAACCAUACUGGUUAUUCUUAGGCCUGGCGAUGAUGACGGGUGUGGUACAGAGUAGGGUUGUUGCGAUACCAAAAUUUUGAUUCUAUAAAAAAGUAUUGCGAUACUCGAUACCACGCAAUAAAAAUAAAACAGCAAAAAAGCUGCAUGCA